This 107-nucleotide ribosomal RNA is filed under the name Curcuma sp. 'chuanhuangjiang'. Its description in RNAcentral is "partial 5.8S ribosomal RNA". It matches the Rfam family "5.8S ribosomal RNA", at positions 53 to 154 of the family's 154-position model. Rfam says of the family: 5.8S ribosomal RNA (5.8S rRNA) is a component of the large subunit of the eukaryotic ribosome. It is transcribed by RNA polymerase I as part of the 45S precursor that also contains 18S and 28S rRNA. The record is from RNAcentral. Lineage: Eukaryota; Viridiplantae; Streptophyta; Magnoliopsida; Zingiberales; Zingiberaceae. RNAcentral also lists the same sequence under 3 other names.
AUGCGAUACUUGGUGUGAAUUGCAGAAUCUCGUGAACCAUUGAGUCUUUGAACGCAAGUUGUGCCCGAGGCCUUGUGGUCGAGGGCACGCCUGCUUGGGCGUCAUGA